GCAUGGAACGUAUCGAUUCACCG
This 23-nucleotide microRNA is filed under the name Pristionchus pacificus. RNAcentral describes it as "ppc-miR-8288-5p". The record is from miRBase by way of RNAcentral. Lineage: Eukaryota; Metazoa; Nematoda; Chromadorea; Rhabditida; Neodiplogasteridae.